CAGACCACGAGUCACAACAAGAACAUAGAAAGCAGCUUUAGAGGCAAUCGUCAUAUGGCACAAGCAAUGCUGGUGGCUAGCUAGCACCCCUAUAUGGCCAUAGAGGUGCCUUUUUAUAUAGUUCUUAAAAGUCAUGCUCUGUGAAUUAACUUGUUCAGAGUCAGAACUUGCCCUGACUCAUCGUAUUCUCCUGCUUAAGACCUUUUUUCAUUUAAAAUAAAUACCACAACAUGGGUUUAUCCAGGUAAAUAUAAAUAUUAAAUUUUGCUGCAAACAGCAAUUGAGGUGGCCCAGCAUAAGAGAAUGGAUAUAGCACAUGAGCAGAUAUUGCAUGGACCAAGUGUUAAAUAGAAAAGAUAAGUAUUUUUUAAAACGUAUUUGAAAAUAUUUCAAAAUUAAUCACAUAAACCAAUAUGGCCACACAACCUCAUGACAUAUAGGCUCCUUAUUGAAGAUGAUAAACUGCUCCCUGUAAACUGGGUGGUUUUAUAACAUAUUAUCUCUUUCUCCAAGGAUUAGAGUGAGUAUAGUGUGAGUGACAUGGGUUGAUGAAAACUAUUUAA
Pelobates cultripes (western spadefoot toad) is the source of this 563-nucleotide non-coding RNA. The record is from the annotation of a GenBank genome assembly. NCBI's taxonomy places the organism in Eukaryota, Metazoa, Chordata, Amphibia, Anura, Pelobatidae.